GACGAACGCUGGCGGCGUGCUUAACACAUGCAAGUCGAACGGAAAGGCCCUGCUUGCAGGGUGCUCGAGUGGCGAACGGGUGAGUAACACGUGGGUGAUCUGCCCCUUACUUUGGGAUAAGCCUGGGAAACUGGGUCUAAUACUGGAUAGGACCAUGCUGUAGGUGGUGUGGUGGAAAGAUUUUUUCGGUAAGGGAUGAGCUCGCGGCCUAUCAGCUUGUUGGUGGGGUAAUGGCCUACCAAGGCGUCGACGGGUAGCCGGCCUGAGAGGGUGGACGGCCACAGUGGGACUGAGAUACGGCCCAGACUCCUACGGGAGGCAGCAGUGGAGAAUAUUGCACAAUGGGCGCAAGCCUGAUGCAGCGACGCCGCGUGGGGGAUGACGGCCUUCGGGUUGUAAACUCCUUUCAGCCAUGACGAAGCCUCUUUUGGGGUGACGGUAGUGGUAGAAGAAGCACCGGCUAACUACGUG
RNAcentral lists this ribosomal RNA (471 nucleotides) under uncultured bacterium. Its description in RNAcentral is "partial 16S ribosomal RNA". It matches the Rfam family "Bacterial small subunit ribosomal RNA", at positions 28 to 507 of the family's 1533-position model. The record is from RNAcentral.